GCACCCGUAGCUCAGCUGGAUAGAGCGCUGCCCUCCGAAGGCAGAGGCCACAGGUUCGAAUCCUGUCGGGUGCA
This is a non-coding RNA of Loktanella atrilutea, 74 nucleotides long. Lineage: Bacteria; Pseudomonadati; Pseudomonadota; Alphaproteobacteria; Rhodobacterales; Roseobacteraceae. The record is from Rfam.